RNAcentral lists this ribosomal RNA (495 nucleotides) under uncultured bacterium. RNAcentral's name for it is "partial 16S ribosomal RNA". It matches the Rfam family "Bacterial small subunit ribosomal RNA", at positions 28 to 523 of the family's 1533-position model. The record is from RNAcentral.
GAUGAACGCUAGCGGGAGGCCUAACACAUGCAAGCCGAGCGGUAUUUGUCUUUUGGGACAGAGAGAGCGGCGUACGGGUGCGGAACACGUGUGCAACCUGCCUUUAUCAGGGGCAUAGCCUUUCGAAAGGAAGAUUAAUACCACAUAAUAUAUUAGAUGGCAUCAUUUGAUAUUGAAAACUCCGGUGGAUAGAGAUGGGCACGCGCAAGAUUAGAUAGUUGGUAGGGUAACGGCCUACCAAGUAAGUGAUCUUAAGGGGGCCUGGGAGGGUGAUCCCCCACACUGGUACUGAGACACGGACCAGACUCCUACGGGAGGCAGCAGUGAGGAAUAUUGGACAAUGGGUUAGCGCCUGAUCCAGCCAUCCCGCGUGAAGGACGACUGCCCUAUGGGUUGUAAACUUCUUUUGUACAGGGAUAAACCUUUCCACGUGUGGAAAGCUGAAGGUACUGUACGAAUAAGCACCGGCUAACUCCGUGCCAGCAGCCGCAGUAA